Molecule: transfer RNA, 87 nt
Filed under: Candidatus Uhrbacteria bacterium
Lineage: Bacteria; Candidatus Uhriibacteriota
Description: tRNA-Leu
Rfam family: tRNA
About the family: Transfer RNA (tRNA) molecules are approximately 80 nucleotides in length. Their secondary structure includes four short double-helical elements and three loops (D, anti-codon, and T loops). Further hydrogen bonds mediate the characteristic L-shaped molecular structure. tRNAs have two regions of fundamental functional importance: the anti-codon, which is responsible for specific mRNA codon recognition, and the 3' end, to which the tRNAs corresponding amino acid is attached (by aminoacyl-tRNA synthetases). tRNAs cope with the degeneracy of the genetic code in two manners: having more than one tRNA (with a specific anti-codon) for a particular amino acid; and 'wobble' base-pairing, i.e. permitting non-standard base-pairing at the 3rd anti-codon position.
Source: RNAcentral
GGGCGGAUGGCGAAAUUGGCAGACGCACUACCUUGAGGUGGUAGCGACCGCAAGGUCUUGAGGGUUCAAGUCCCUCUCCGCCCACCA